CCCCGGUCCUGCCCCGGGAAGCCGCCCUCCCCUCCCCGCGGCGCCCGGCGGCUCGGCAGCGCUGUCCGAGGCGGGACGUCAGCCCCACGCCCGCCGCCUCGCCGCCUUCCCUCAGUCCCAGCCCUCCCUCCGCUCCUGUCGCGUCCCCGCCCGGCCCUGGAUGCGAAGGCGAGGGGCGGCCGGAGAGAAUCCGGACUGGGCUCUGAGCAGUUCUCGAAGCUCAGCAAUGUCUUAAACGGAUUACACGGAGGAGGGGUUGAAGCUGAAAACCUCAUUCAUCCUCACGACGGUCCUAUUCAUUGCUGAAAUAGGUGUAGCGUAGGAGCCGGAGCUGGUCUUCCCCAGAGCAGCUCAGCAGUUGUGUGGGCUGCUUGAGCUGGCUGCAGCAGGGAGGGCAGGGCUGCACAGUGCUCUGAAUCCUUAUCAUGUGUUUGCUAC
This 438-nucleotide long non-coding RNA is filed under the name Parus major (Great Tit). RNAcentral's name for it is "lncRNA (ENSPMJG00000011264.1)". The record is from RNAcentral. Lineage: Eukaryota; Metazoa; Chordata; Aves; Passeriformes; Paridae.